This 274-nucleotide ribosomal RNA is filed under the name uncultured bacterium. RNAcentral's name for it is "partial 16S ribosomal RNA". It matches the Rfam family "Bacterial small subunit ribosomal RNA", at positions 523 to 796 of the family's 1533-position model. The record is from RNAcentral.
AUACGGAGGGCGCAAACGUUGUUCGGAAUCACUGGGCAUAAAGAGCACGUAGGCUGUCCGCUCAGUCGGAUGUGAAAUCCCCCGGCUCAACCGAGGAAUUGCAUCCGAUACUGGCGGGCUAGAGGACGGUAGGGGUAAGUGGAACUCCAGGUGGAACGGUGAAAUGUGUAGAUAUCUGGAGGAACACCGGUGGCGAAAGCGGCUUACUGGACCGUCUCUGACGCUGAGGUGCGAAAGCUAGGGUAGCGAACGGGAUUAGAAACCCCGGUAGUCC